RNAcentral lists this ribosomal RNA (253 nucleotides) under uncultured bacterium. RNAcentral's name for it is "partial 16S ribosomal RNA". It matches the Rfam family "Bacterial small subunit ribosomal RNA", at positions 524 to 776 of the family's 1533-position model. The record is from RNAcentral.
UACGUAGGGUGCAAGCGUUAAUCGGAAUUACUGGGCGUAAAGCGUGCGCAGGCGGCUUUGCAAGACAGAUGUGAAAUCCCCGGGCUUAACCUGGGAACUGCAUUUGUGACUGCAUGGCUAGAGUGCGGCAGAGGGGGAUGGAAUUCCGCGUGUAGCAGUGAAAUGCGUAGAUAUGCGGAGGAACACCGAUGGCGAAGGCAGCCCCCUGGGCUGACACUGACGCUCAGGCACGAAAGCGUGGGGAGCAAACAGG